This 220-nucleotide long non-coding RNA is filed under the name Mytilus galloprovincialis (Mediterranean mussel). Lineage: Eukaryota; Metazoa; Mollusca; Bivalvia; Mytilida; Mytilidae. The record is from RNAcentral.
GUCAUCUUUAAAAAUUGGAGUUAUCUCCCAUUGUCCAGAAUGCUUUAUUGACAAUGCAAUAUUAAUUUUACUUCCCACUGAUCAAUUAACGCAAUCUUUACCCUUCAGUGCUUACAGACACUUUGAUUGGUUGAAGAAGCCGAAGUUAUAAGAGAGAUUGACCUUUAGGUUGGAAUUUUUGCUUGUUGCUUGUACAUGUAAAACUAAAAUCAAUGACCCA